GACGAACGCUGGCGGCGUGCUUAACACAUGCAAGUCGAACGGAGUGGCGAACGGGUGAGUAACACGUGGGUGACCUGCCCUGCACUUCGGGAUAAGCCUGGGAAACUGGGUCUAAUACCGGAUAGUGUGGGAUGGGCCCGAGGCCUAUCGGCUUGUGGGUGGGGUAAUGGCCGACCAGGGCGGCGACGGGUAGCCGGCCUGAGAGGGUGGACGGCCACAUUAGGACUGAGAGACGGCCCAGAGUGGUACGGGAUGCAGCAGUGGGGAAUAUUACACAAUGGGCGGAAGCCUGAUGCAGCGACGCCGCGUGGGGGAUGACGGCCUUCGGGUUGUAAACUCCUUUCACCAUCGACGCGGUAGAUGGAGAAGAAGCACCGGCUAACUACGUGCCAGCAGCCGCGGUAAUUC
This 408-nucleotide ribosomal RNA is filed under the name uncultured bacterium. RNAcentral's name for it is "partial 16S ribosomal RNA". It matches the Rfam family "Bacterial small subunit ribosomal RNA", at positions 28 to 526 of the family's 1533-position model. The record is from RNAcentral.